CCAGACUCCUACGGGAGGCAGCAGUGGGGAAUAUUGCACAAUGGGGGAAACCCUGAUGCAGCAACGCCGCGUGAGUGAGGAAGUAUUUCGGUAUGUAAAGCUCUAUCAGCAGGGAAUAGAAAAGAAGGUACCUGAAAAAGAAGCCCCGGCUAACUACGUGCCAGCAGCCGCGGUAAUACGUAUGGAGCAAGCGUUAUCCGGAUUUACUGGGUGUAAAGGGGGCGCAGGCGGCCUUGCAAGUCUGAUGUGAAAGGCCGGGGCCCAACCCCGGGACUGCAUUGGAAACUGCGAGGCUGGAGUGUCGGAGAGGCAGGCGGAAUUCCUAGUGUAGCGGUGAAAUGCGUAGAUAUCAGGAGGAACACCGGUGGCGAAGGCGGCCUGCUGGACUGCAACUGACGUUGAGGCCCGAAAGCGUGGGGAGCAAACAGGAUUAGAUACCCGAGUAA
Molecule: ribosomal RNA, 446 nt
Filed under: uncultured bacterium
Lineage: Bacteria
Description: partial 16S ribosomal RNA
Rfam family: Bacterial small subunit ribosomal RNA
Source: RNAcentral